RNAcentral lists this long non-coding RNA (676 nucleotides) under Homo sapiens (human). Its description in RNAcentral is "non-protein coding HAGLR:48". Lineage: Eukaryota; Metazoa; Chordata; Mammalia; Primates; Hominidae. The record is from RNAcentral.
AGACCGCCCAGGAGGCGGCGGCUAUUGUUCCCCGCAGGGGCCCGGGGCGCCCUGAAACGGGGUCCACGUCAGCCCGCUCCCGAGCGUGUCCUCAGCGCUGUGAACAAUGGAGCCAUCAAAAAGGCCUUCUCCCAGCCUCCUCACCAACCACGGACAUUCCUGGCCCAACAAGACCUCCUGGCCAGGUUUUGAGCCCUGCUUCCCAGAUCUGGGGACCCUUCACCUGCCUCUACUACUGCAAAUGAUUGGAUAUUCGUCUGACUUGGCUCUUCCCUAAUGUGUGGAACUAAUUUUGUUCACUCUGUUUCAUGCUGGACCUGGCCUGAAAAUGGGCCCUUAUAUUGUCUUUGCACUUUCCAACUUGCCAAGUUUCUGAAAGAAGGACCAAAGUAAUGCCAAGAACUCCCAGAUGAAGAGGACCUUCCUUAGACCUAUAACAGAUUCACUACUUGACUUCAGAGGGAAGUUUCAGCUAAUUCUCAGGAAAAGGUCAAAACAGGCCUGUGACUGUCCCUUGAAUACUGAAGGUAUAAACAAGCUUCUGGCUCCUCCAGGUCAAGCAGAGGAACACUUUUAUUAGAAUGAAGGGUUACUUCUUUGUUAUUCAAACACACACCCACACACAUCCUCUGUAGUCUCCCUAAUGAAAAACCUCAACAGAUGGAGAGCCUGAGCU